CAAGGUGGGAAUGAUAAAUUCCCCCCGCCGAGUUUGAGAGGCUGCAGGCUAGUUAUAUCAUUUCCCUACUUGGGCAUGCUACACAAAAUGGAAGUUGAUGGAAGUAAUGGGGUCUUCAGGAGGCAUGAUCAUUCGAGCUUGAGGGGCCCAGAUAAUUCCAAUUUUGAUACUGCAGCUACCCAAAACCUUAGCUUCUCUAGGACAGCAGAACUUGACCUAUAGCACUCGCUUAUCCCAAGUCCUAAUUACUGUGUCUAUUAACUAUCUUGGUUCUCAGAGAACCCCAGGACUUGAGUAGAAAGAGCAGAAUUACAAACAGUCGCAAUGAAAGAUAUUUGAAGCACAAAAGCAGAAUGAUAAAGUGACUGAAAGAUGAUGGCAAACUGAAUGAAAAUGGCAAGGGGAUCUGGUCACCGAUGUGGCCAGUGAAUGGCUGCAGGUGGCGUCAAACCCCAUGCUUUCAGUGAAGGAGCCUAGUCGAGCAUUGGAGACAGAGUAGGGAGUCAUCGUCCAAAAGUAGGCAAGUAAUCUUUCCUUUACAGGUCCGGCCAAGUGUGUGUCUGUUUCAUUAUAGUUGUUUGGCCUCCUGUGGCUUUGCUGAUCUUCUCACGAUAAGAAUUUGUAUGUGAUGAAACAUUAUGAAAUAAUAUCUGCUGUACUGGAUUAUAGUAUAAUCAUGGAAAAAGGAGAUUUUUAUUUUAUGAUGUAAUCAGCUCUAAAUUACAAAUUUAGAUUUCCAUAUUCCCUAGUUCUAUAGGGAUAGCUGUUUUUAUGUAAUUUCCCUCAAAAUUACAGAAAAUGUAAUUUGAGGGAAAUUAUAUUUAAAAAAAAAAAAAGCCGUCAUCACUCACAGUGUGUAUAAAUCAUGGCAUCAAUACUCAGGACACUUAACCCUCAGUUAUGACCGUACAUAUUUUAUACGACCAGGUUAAAAAAAAAA
Molecule: long non-coding RNA, 940 nt
Organism: Bufo bufo (common toad)
Lineage: Eukaryota; Metazoa; Chordata; Amphibia; Anura; Bufonidae
Exons: 2
Source: RefSeq, a predicted model, not a curated record